Molecule: ribosomal RNA, 253 nt
Filed under: uncultured bacterium
Lineage: Bacteria
Description: partial 16S ribosomal RNA
Rfam family: Bacterial small subunit ribosomal RNA
Source: RNAcentral
UACAGAGGGUGCGAGCGUUAAUCGGAAUUACUGGGCGUAAAGCGUGCGUAGACGGUUAUGUAAGUCGGGUGUGAAAGCCCCGGGCUCAACCUGGGAAUUGCAUUCGAGACUGGAUAGCUAGGGUGCGGAAGAGGGAAGCGGAAUUUCAGGUGUAGCGGUGAAAUGCGUAGAUAUCUGAAGGAACACCAGUGGCGAAAGCGGCUUCCUGGUCCAGCACCGACGUUCAGGCACGAAAGCGUGGGGAGCAAACAGG